UGGGAACCAGACCGAGUAGUUUCCCCACUGGGUGUGGUGUAUAAAAUAGAGAAGCACAGCCUCCACAGUGUUUGUUGUGCAGCUCGUCCUUGGAAUGAGCCUUUGCUUUUCUUCUGCAAGAAAAAACCCCAAAGCCAUGAAUCAGGUCCAAAUUGAAUACUGUGCGGGAUGAGGUUACUCGUCCCGCUACAGGCAGCUGGAAGGAGCCCUCCGGCAGGUCCCUGGUGUGUCGGUGACGGGAUUCAAGGGGAGACCAAACAGUUUUGAGGUUGUACUGAACGGGCAGACGAUCUACUCCAAGCUGAAAACACACUCAUUUCCUGAGAGUGCACAGGUGGUAGCGAUGGUGAAGAAGAUUAUCCAGGAAAAGAAGAAGUAAAGCCUCAGAGGAUCCAAUAAGAUCUGUAUUCACACUGCAAGAGAACAACAGGGUUUGUCUUCUGUGGUUCAGAGCUCAAGAAGAUGAGCCCAUGGGUUCUCUUCAUGGUGAAUACAGACACAGACCAGGAGAUGAUGGGAGCCACACUGAGGAGCCGGGAACUGACUUCUGUUUAUGACUGUACACACUGAAAACACGUGGUGUGUACAUGAUGCAGGGCCAGAAGCUUUUCAGUCGACAGGAGCCUGAGGAUGUGCUCUCAUCGUGUCUGUCUCUACUCACACGUAACAUUUCUUUAGCUGUCUCAAUCAAACACACUUAUUCCAUCAUCCAUUUUGUUCUGUUCAUAUAAAUCUAAAGUAUCCGAGCUGAGGAUCCGAUUAAAAGAAAAGUUUAACAUUUUUAGAAAAAUUUGAUUUUGCCUUCUCGUCGCAACAUGAGAAGAUUGAUUCCACUGUCAUUUCUUGAAUUUAAAGCCCAUGUUUACAUCCAGUUAUCUAAAGCUCACAAACAUGUUACAUCCUAUUUUUGUAAAUGAAAAUUUGCCAUUUCAGUGGGGGCAUUUCUUGACUACCAUGGAUUAAAUAAACAAGAUACAACAUGUUAUUUAGCAUGGACAAAGUCAGGGUAGCUGUUUCCCUUUGUUUCCAGUCUUUAUGCUAAGCUAAGCUAAACAGUCUCUGACUCUACAUUGUAUUUAUUUCACAUGACAGCGGAAGAAAGAAAAGAGUAUUCAAGAACAUUUUUCAAAAACUUUAAUACGUGUUAUGUUGCAAACAGGAAAUGCUCUUCAAAUUUCAGAUUCUAUAAUUAUUUGGCAUUUUUCAUAACACCUUGAAUCACUUAGACCGAUCAUCUGUGGACGUCUUUUUUCCUCAGGAAGUUUUCACCUUCAUGUACCUUGCAUAUUUUCCUUUGAUGAGACAGCUACUGCAAAUGUUCUGCCUUCUCUGUUACUGAUAAAUAUUUAAUCAAUGACAAAUGAUGAAUCUAACAAAUAUACUUGUAAUUUCAAACACUGUGAUGCUGGAACUUAGGCGGAACUGGAACUGUUGAGCAAAAAAUUCGCUCGACAAUUCUAGGCUCUACAAUGUAAUACAAUAUAAAACUUGUUGCAAAAAUAGCAUAUGUCAUCUGGGCAACAGAUGGGCUGCACCAAAAUGCACCGCAUAUUCUAAAUGGAAGAUAUUAAUUAAAAUAAUCCAAAUUUAGCAAAAAGGAUUUUACUAUUUCACUUUAAAAUGUUACUUUAGUUAAAGAAAAUAUUUCUUUAGUUAACUUUAUCCUCAACAACUCUACUUCCAGCAUCCUUGAAACAUAUCACAUAUCAAACAGUUUCUAAACAAUAAAUCAUCACUUUCAACAACAAUUCAUUAAAUUUUCAACAAAUGCAUAAAAUACUGUGGAUUCA
Molecule: long non-coding RNA, 1790 nt
Organism: Pleuronectes platessa (European plaice)
Lineage: Eukaryota; Metazoa; Chordata; Actinopteri; Pleuronectiformes; Pleuronectidae
Exons: 4
Source: RefSeq, a predicted model, not a curated record